Molecule: unclassified non-coding RNA, 421 nt
Filed under: soil metagenome
Description: partial contains 5.8S ribosomal RNA, internal transcribed spacer 2, and large subunit ribosomal RNA
Rfam family: 5.8S ribosomal RNA (bases 2-121)
Source: RNAcentral
GGAUGAAGAACGUAGCGAAAUGCGAUAAGUAAUGUGAAUUGCAGAAUUCAGUGAAUCAUCGAAUCUUUGAACGCAUCUUGCGCUCCUUGGUAUUCCUUGGAGCAUGCCUGUUUGAGUAUCAUGAGCAAAUCUCAAAGUCAAUUCCUUUUGUUAAUUCAAUUGGUUUUGCUUUGGACUUGGAGGUCUUGCAGAUUUCACAGUCUGCUCCUCUUAAAUGCAUUAGCUGGAUCUCAGUAAUUAUGCUUGGUUCCACUCGGCGUGAUAAGUAUCACUCGCUGAGGACACUGUUAAAAAGGUGGCCAGGAAAAUACUGAUUGAACCGCUUCUAACGGUCUAUUAAGUUAGACAAUUGACCCCUUAAGUUUGAUCUCAAAUCAGGUAGGACUACCCGCUGAACUUAAGCAUAUCAAUAAGCGGAGGA